CCUACGAGUGGCUGCAGUGAGGAAUAUUGGUCAAUGGGAGAGAUCCUGAACCAGCCAAGCCGCGUGAGGGAAGACGGCCCUAUGGGUUGUAAACCUCUUUUGUCGGAGAACAAAACCCGGGACGUGUCCCGGACUGCGUGUAUCCGAAGAAAAAGCAUCGGCUAACUCCGUGCCAGCAGCCGCGGUAAUACGGAGGAUGCGAACGUUAUCCGGAUUUAUUGGGUUUAAAGGGUGCGUAGGCGGUCCGUUAAGUCAGCGGUAAAAGUGCGGGGCUCAACCCCGUCGAGCCGUUGAAACUGGCAGACUUGAGUUGGCGAGAAGUACGCGGAAUGCGCGGUGUAGCGGUGAAAUGCAUAGAUAUCGCGCAGAACUCCGAUUGCGAAGGCAGCGUACCGGCGCCAGACUGACGCUGAGGCACGAAAGCGUGGGGAUCGAACAGGAUUAGAUACCCUGGUAGUC
RNAcentral lists this ribosomal RNA (459 nucleotides) under uncultured bacterium. Its description in RNAcentral is "partial 16S ribosomal RNA". It matches the Rfam family "Bacterial small subunit ribosomal RNA", at positions 338 to 795 of the family's 1533-position model. The record is from RNAcentral.